CCCUUAGAUGUUCUGGGCCGCACGCGCGCUACACUGAUGCAUUCAACGAGUCUAAAACCUGCUCUGAUAGGGGUGGGUAAUCUUUUGAAUGUGCAUCGUGAUUGGGAUAGAUGAUUGCAAUUUUUCAUCUUCAACGAGGAAUGCCUAGUAAACGCAAGUCAUCAGCUUGCAUUGAUUACGUCCCUGCCCUUUGUACACACCGCCCGUCGCUCCUACCGAUUGAAUGAUCCGAUGAAUAUCAUGGAUUGAGGAUGCAAGCAGGUUCGCCUGUCUUCAUCUUCGAGAAGUGAAGUAAAUCUUAUCAUUUAGAGGAAGGAGAAGUCGUAGCA
Molecule: ribosomal RNA, 329 nt
Filed under: uncultured eukaryote
Lineage: Eukaryota
Description: partial 18S ribosomal RNA
Rfam family: Eukaryotic small subunit ribosomal RNA
Source: RNAcentral